AGAUUGAACGCUGGCGGCAGGCCUAACACAUGCAAGUCGAGCGGUAGAGAGGUGCUUGCAUCUCUUGAGAGCGGCGGACGGGUGAGUAAUGCCUAGGAAUCUGCCUAGUGGUGGGGGAUAACGUUCGGAAACGGACGCUAAUACCGCAUACGUCCUACGGGAGAAAGCGGGGGACCUUCGGGCCUCGCGCCAUUAGAUGAGCCUAGGUCGGAUUAGCUAGUUGGUGAGGUAAUGGCUCACCAAGGCGACGAUCCGUAACUGGUCUGAGAGGAUGAUCAGUCACACUGGACUGAGACACGGUCCAGACUCCUACGGGAGCAGCAGUGGGGAAUACUGGAC
Molecule: ribosomal RNA, 339 nt
Filed under: uncultured soil bacterium
Lineage: Bacteria
Description: bacterial SSU rRNA
Rfam family: Bacterial small subunit ribosomal RNA
Source: RNAcentral